This is a microRNA precursor of Callithrix jacchus (white-tufted-ear marmoset), 86 nucleotides long. The record is from Ensembl. NCBI's taxonomy places the organism in Eukaryota, Metazoa, Chordata, Mammalia, Primates, Cebidae.
AUAUUAGGUUGAUGCAAAAAUAAUUGCAGUUUUUGCCAUUAUUCUUAGUAGCAAAAACUGCAGUUACUUUUGCACCAACUCAAUAU